GUAAGUAAAAAGCGUAACAAGGUUUCCGUAGGUGAACCUGCGGAAGGAUCAUUACCGAGUGCAGGUCUGCCCCCGGGCAGGCCUAACCUCCCACCCGUGAAUACCUGACCAACGUUGCUUCGGCGGUGCGCCCCCCCGGGGGUAGCCGCCGGAGACCACACCGAACCUCCUGUCUUUAGUGUUGUCUGAGCUUGAUAGCAAACCUAUUAAAACUUUCAACAAUGGAUCUCUUGGUUCCGGCAUCGAUGAAGAACGCAGCGAACUGCGAUAAGUAAUGUGAAUUGCAGAAUUCAGUGAAUCAUCGAGUCUUUGAACGCACAUUGCGCCCCCUGGCAUUCCGGGGGGCAUGCCUGUCCGAGCGUCAUUGCUGCCCUUCAAGCCCGGCUUGUGUGUUGGGUCGUCGUCCCCCCCGGGGGACGGGCCCGAAAGGCAGCGGCGGCACCGCGUCCGGUCCUCGAGCGUAUGGGGCUUUGUCACCCGCUCGAUUAGGGCCGGCCGGGCGCCAGCCGGCGUCUCCAACCUUCUAUUUUACCAGGUUGACCUCGGAUCAGGUAGGGAUACCCGCUGAACUUAAGCAUAUCAUAAGGCCGGGGAGAAA
RNAcentral lists this ribosomal RNA (598 nucleotides) under uncultured fungus. RNAcentral's name for it is "eukaryotic LSU rRNA". The stretch from base 211 to 364 matches the Rfam family "5.8S ribosomal RNA". The record is from RNAcentral. Lineage: Eukaryota; Fungi.